Molecule: microRNA precursor, 115 nt
Filed under: Lepisosteus oculatus (spotted gar)
Lineage: Eukaryota; Metazoa; Chordata; Actinopteri; Semionotiformes; Lepisosteidae
Description: Danio rerio miR-30c stem-loop (ENSLOCG00000019527.1)
Rfam family: mir-30 microRNA precursor family (bases 13-88)
About the family: This family consists of the mammalian microRNA (miRNA) precursor mir-30a. Animal miRNAs are transcribed as ~70nt precursors and subsequently processed by the Dicer enzyme to give a ~22nt product.
Source: RNAcentral
GAGCUCCGAGAUGAAGGCAGUGUAAACAUCCUACACUCUCAGCUUUGGCAAGUAAAGAGGCUGGGAGAGGGGUGUUUGCGCUCUCUAGCUCGGAAAAGCAACGUCUGAGGAAAUG